RNAcentral lists this ribosomal RNA (404 nucleotides) under uncultured bacterium. RNAcentral's name for it is "bacterial SSU rRNA". It matches the Rfam family "Bacterial small subunit ribosomal RNA", at positions 28 to 420 of the family's 1533-position model. The record is from RNAcentral.
GAUGAACGCUGGCGGCGUGCCUAAUACAUGCAAGUCGAGCGGUAAGGCUUUCACUCUGUAUUUAAAUUAUUGAAUAUAGUGUGAAAGUACACGAGCGGCGGACGGCUGAGUAACGCGUAGGAACGUACCCCAAAGUGAGGGAUAAGCACCGGAAACGGUGUCUAAUACCGCAUGUGAUCUUCGGAUUAAAGCUUUAUGCGCUUUUGGGAGCGGCCUGCGUAAGAUUAGUUUGUUGGUGAGGUAAUGGCUCACCAAGACGAUGAUCUUUAGCUGGUCUGAGAGGAUGAUCAGCCAGACUGGGACUGAGACACGGCCCAGACUCCUACGGGAGGCAGCAGUAGGGAAUUUUCCACAAUGGACGAAAGUCUGAUGGAGCAACGCCGCGUGCAGGAUGAAGGCCUCGG